AUUGAACGCUGGCGGCAUGCUUUACACAUGCAAGUCGAACGGUAACAGGCCGCAAGGUGCUGACGAGUGGCGAACGGGUGAGUAAUGCAUCGGAACGUGCCCAGUCGUGGGGGAUAACUACUCGAAAGAGUAGCUAAUACCGCAUACGAUCUAUGGAUGAAAGCGGGGGACCGUAAGGCCUCGCGCGAUUGGAGCGGCCGAUGUCAGAUUAGGUAGUUGGUGGGGUAAAGGCUCACCAAGCCCACGAUCUGUAGCUGGUCUGAGAGGACGACCAGCCACACUGGGACUGAGACACGGCCCAGACUCCUACGGGAGGCAGCAGUGGGGAAUUUUGGACAAUGGGCGCAAGCCUGAUCCAGCAAUGCCGCGUGCAGGAAGAAGGCCUUCGGGUUGUAAACUGCUUUUGUACGGAACGAAACGGCUCUGGUUAAUACCCGGGGCUAAUGACGGUACCGUAAGAAUAAGCACCGGCUAACUACGUG
Molecule: ribosomal RNA, 482 nt
Filed under: uncultured bacterium
Lineage: Bacteria
Description: partial 16S ribosomal RNA
Rfam family: Bacterial small subunit ribosomal RNA
Source: RNAcentral